RNAcentral lists this ribosomal RNA (198 nucleotides) under uncultured bacterium. RNAcentral's name for it is "partial 16S ribosomal RNA". It matches the Rfam family "Bacterial small subunit ribosomal RNA", at positions 328 to 539 of the family's 1533-position model. The record is from RNAcentral.
ACGCUCGACACCUACGGGUGGCAGCAGUGGGGAAUAUUGCACAAUGGGGGAAACCCUGAUGCAGCGACGCCGCGUGAAGGAAGAAGUAUUUCGGUAUGUAAACUUCUAUCAGCAGGGAAGAAAAUGACGGUACCUGAGUAAGAAGCACCGGCUAAAUACGUGCCAGCAGCCGAGGUAAUCUGAGCGGGCUGGCAAGGC